Molecule: ribosomal RNA, 493 nt
Filed under: uncultured bacterium
Lineage: Bacteria
Description: partial 16S ribosomal RNA
Rfam family: Bacterial small subunit ribosomal RNA
Source: RNAcentral
AUUGAACGCUGGCGGCAUGCUUUACACAUGCAAGUCGAACGGUAACAGGCCUUCGGGUGCUGACGAGUGGCGAACGGGUGAGUAAUGCAUCGGAACGUACCCAGAGGUGGGGGAUAACGCAGCGAAAGCUGUGCUAAUACCGCAUGUGAUCUGAGGAUGAAAGCGGGGGACCGAGCAGCAAUGUUUGGCCUCGCGCCUUUGGAGCGGCCGAUGUCGGAUUAGCUAGUUGGUGGGGUAAAGGCCUACCAAGGCGACGAUCCGUAGCUGGUCUGAGAGGACGGCCAGCCAAACUGGGACUGAGACACGGCCCAGACUCCUACGGGAGGCAGCAGUGGGGAAUUUUUGGACAAUGGGCGCAAGCCUGAUCCAGCAAUGCCGCGUGCGGGAAGAAGGCCUUCGGGUUGUAAACCGCUUUUGGCAGGAACGAAACGGUGUCCGCUAAUACCGGGCGCUAAUGACGGUACCUGCAGAAUAAGCACCGGCUAACUACGUG